GGAAGGGCCGUAUUUAUUAGAUAACAGACCAAUAUUCUUCGUGUCUAUUGUGGUGAAUCAUAGUAACUAAUCGGAUCGUAUGGGCUAGUCCCUCGACAAACCAUUCAAGUUUCUGCCCCAUCAGCUUUCGAUGGUAGUGUAUUGGACUACCAUGGCUUUCACGGGUAACGGAGGAUUAGGGUUCGAUUCCGGAGAGGGAGCCUGAGAAACGGCUACCACAUCUAAGGAAGGCAGCAGGCGCGUAAAUUACCCAAUUCUGACUCAGAGAGGUAGUG
Molecule: ribosomal RNA, 275 nt
Filed under: uncultured eukaryote
Lineage: Eukaryota
Description: partial small subunit ribosomal RNA
Rfam family: Eukaryotic small subunit ribosomal RNA
Source: RNAcentral